Molecule: transfer RNA, 72 nt
Organism: Oscillatoriales cyanobacterium
Lineage: Bacteria; Bacillati; Cyanobacteriota; Cyanophyceae; Oscillatoriales
Rfam family: tRNA
About the family: Transfer RNA (tRNA) molecules are approximately 80 nucleotides in length.
Source: Rfam
GGGCGGUUAGCUCAACGGUAGAGCGCCUGCCUUACACGCAGGAUGUUACAGGUUCAAAUCCUGUACCGCCCA